UACGAAGGGGGCUAGCGUUGCUCGGAAUCACUGGGCGUAAAGCGCACGUAGGCGGCUUUCUAAGUCAGAGGUGAAAUCCCGGGGCUCAAACCCGGAACUGCCUUUGAUACUGGAGAGCUUGAGUUCGGGAGAGGUGAGUGGAACUGCGAGUGUAGAGGUGAAAUUCGUAGAUAUUCGCAAGAACACCAGUGGCGAAGGCGGCUCGCUGGACUGAUACUGACGCUCAGGUGCGAAAGCGUGGGGAGCAAACAGG
Molecule: ribosomal RNA, 253 nt
Filed under: uncultured bacterium
Lineage: Bacteria
Description: partial 16S ribosomal RNA
Rfam family: Bacterial small subunit ribosomal RNA
Source: RNAcentral